GCCCUUUCCGGUUGAUCCUGCCGGACCUGACUGCUAUCGGAUUGAUACUAAGCCAUGUGAGUCGUUGUAGCAAUACAAGGCGUACGGCUCAGUAACACGUAGUCAAUCUAACCUAUGGACGGGGAUAACCUCGGGAAACUGAGGAUAAAACCCGAUAGAUCAUAAUUCCUGNAACGGUUUAUGGUCCAAACGAUUCGUUGCCGUAGGAUGGGACUGCGGCCUAUCAGCUUGUUGGUGAGGUAAUGGCCCACCAAGGCUAUUACAGGUACGGGCUCUGAGAGGAGAAGCCCGGAGAUGGGUACUGAGACACGGACCCAGGCCCUAUGGGGCGCAGCAGGCGAGAAAACUUUGCAAUGUGCGCAAGCACGACAAGGUUAAUCCGAGUGUUUCCUGCUUAAGGAAUCUUUUGUUAGUUGUAAAACCACUAUCGAAUAAGGGGUGGGCAAGUUCUGGUGUCAGCCGCCGCGGUAAAACCAGCACCUCGAGUGGUCAGGAGGAUUAUUGGGCCUAAAGCAUCCGUGGCCUGUUCUAUAAGUUUCCGGUUAAAUCCAUUAGCUCAACUAAUGGGCCGCCGAAAAUACUGUAGAACUAGGGAGUGGGAGAGGUAGACGGUAUUCGGUAGGAAGGGGUAAAAUCCUUUGAUCUAUUGAGGACCACCUGUGGCGAAGGCGGUCUACCAGAACACG
Molecule: ribosomal RNA, 686 nt
Filed under: uncultured archaeon
Lineage: Archaea
Description: bacterial SSU rRNA
Rfam family: Archaeal small subunit ribosomal RNA
Source: RNAcentral